This 486-nucleotide ribosomal RNA is filed under the name uncultured bacterium. RNAcentral describes it as "partial 16S ribosomal RNA". It matches the Rfam family "Bacterial small subunit ribosomal RNA", at positions 30 to 507 of the family's 1533-position model. The record is from RNAcentral.
AUUGAACGCUGGCGGCAUGCCUUACACAUGCAAGUCGAACGGCAGCACGGGUGCUUGCACCUGGUGGCGAGUGGCGAACGGGUGAGUAAUACAUCGGAACAUGUCCUGUAGUGGGGGAUAGCCCGGCGAAAGCCGGAUUAAUACCGCAUACGAUCUACGGAUGAAAGCGGGGGACCUUCGGGCCUCGCGCUAUAGGGUUGGCCGAUAGCUGAUUAGCUAGUUGGUGGGGUAAAGGCCUACCAAGGCGACGAUCAGUAGCUGGUCUGAGAGGACGACCUGCCACACUGGGACUGAGACACGGCCCAGACUCCUACGGGAGGCAGCAGUGGGGAAUUUUGGACAAUGGGCGAAAGCCUGAUCCAGCAAUGCCGCGUGUGUGAAGAAGGCCUUCGGGUUGUAAAGCACUUUUGUCCGGAAAGAAAUCCUUGGCUCUAAUACAGUCGGGGGAUGACGGUACCGGAAGAAUAAGCACCGGCUAACUACGUG